Cordylochernes scorpioides is the source of this 71-nucleotide non-coding RNA. The record is from the annotation of a GenBank genome assembly. Lineage: Eukaryota; Metazoa; Arthropoda; Arachnida; Pseudoscorpiones; Chernetidae.
GUCCAGGGGCGGGAAUCGAACCCACGACAGAUGCACCCGGGCAGAUGCCAUGUCCACUAGGCUACCCUGGA